RNAcentral lists this small nucleolar RNA (117 nucleotides) under Oryza brachyantha (malo sina). Its description in RNAcentral is "snoRNA snoZ278". It matches the Rfam family "Small nucleolar RNA Z278". Rfam says of the family: snoZ278 is a C/D box small nucleolar RNA. Its methylation guide targets have not been reported. Lineage: Eukaryota; Viridiplantae; Streptophyta; Magnoliopsida; Poales; Poaceae. The record is from Rfam by way of RNAcentral.
ACCUAUGAUGCGUUGCCCAAAGUGUGAGAUGUAGGUAUCUUCAAGUCCCUGUUCAGUCAGGGAGAACCUACUUGGGGGGCCUACAUUAUAAUGAGAUUGAUGGGCUGUUACUGAGGU